Molecule: unclassified non-coding RNA, 248 nt
Filed under: Hevea brasiliensis (rubber tree)
Lineage: Eukaryota; Viridiplantae; Streptophyta; Magnoliopsida; Malpighiales; Euphorbiaceae
Source: RNAcentral
AAUAACCGACUCGUCCCAAGUUAGUUUGGGUCGCCCUCUACCUCUCUUAACAUUAUUGGCCCGCUGUAGAACCCCACUACGCACCGGCGCCUCAGGAGGCCUCCGUUGGACAUGUCCGAACCAUCUCAACCGAUGUUGCGUCAAUUUCUCCUCAAUUGGUGCCACUCCGACUCUAUCUCGAAUAUCUUCAUUCUGUAUCCUAUCCCUUCUUGUGUGACCACAAAACCAACGCAACAUACGCAUCUCUG